RNAcentral lists this long non-coding RNA (723 nucleotides) under Hordeum vulgare. Its description in RNAcentral is "long non-coding RNA (HVUL_LNC002887)". Lineage: Eukaryota; Viridiplantae; Streptophyta; Magnoliopsida; Poales; Poaceae. The record is from RNAcentral.
CUUGGGAAGACUAAUUUAGUUAUUUGAAUUGCACUUUGACCAUUUACACAAAAAUAAAGAGAUGGUUUGAACAGUUGGUAAAAAGGGAUCUUCAGACAUCAAACAAGGUUUUUGAAUCUACCAAAACAAAAUCCACAAACUAAGAUAACAUCAUUCAUUAGCUGUCCUAAACAUCUCAUCACUUCUCAUUCUCCCGUCGGCAACCUUCUUCAUCCGGGCUCCCAACAGGUGCUGAUUCGACAUCUCCACAUGGAGUUUACCCUAUGCAUGAGCAUCUCGCCGCCGCGAGUGAUGGCAUAAACAUGGAGAAAAAGAAACAUAUCAUACUUGUGAGCACACCUUGGGAAGAUGUCGCUUCUAGCUGGAAUGUUCGUGCGUUGUCACGAGCCUUUUUUAUUACAUAUAUAAACAUGAUGGAUGUCAAAUUUUGCUUGUAUAGAAAAAGAUAGGCCACAACCAUUAGAAAGCAAUUGAAAUCCACUUCACUCGCAUCUAGUUUGAUAAAGAAUGACAUUCAAUGAUGUAUACAUAAAGAACAAUUAUUCAAAUAAGAAUCUGUGACAAACUAAGAUCUAUUUGAUGGGCUUAAGAAAUCCCCGUAUAAUGUCAGGAAUGUUGUCUUUAGCUUCAUUCACACAGUAUCUGAGGAAGUAUAAUACAACUUCUUUCUCACCUCUUAACCAUCUUACACAAAAGUAAUAUAUAUAUAUAUACUUAAAGGUU